Molecule: ribosomal RNA, 468 nt
Filed under: uncultured bacterium
Lineage: Bacteria
Description: partial 16S ribosomal RNA
Rfam family: Bacterial small subunit ribosomal RNA
Source: RNAcentral
GACGAACGCUGGCGGCGUGCUUAACACAUGCAAGUCGAACGGAAAGGCCCUGAUCUUGUGGGUUGCUCGAGUGGCGAACGGGUGUGUAACACGUGAGUAACCUGCACUUGUCUUUGGGAUAUCUUUAGGAAACUGGGGCUAAUACAGGGUAGGAGCUACUGAUGCACGUUGGGGGUUGGUAAGUUUCGGCGGUUCGGGCUGGACUGGCGGCUUAUGAGCUUGUUGGUGGGGUAGGGGCUUACCAGGGUUUUGAAGGGUAGGCUGCCUGAGAGGGGGAACGGCCACAUUGGUACUACGGUACGGAGCAGACUCCAACGGGACGCAGCAGUCGAGAAUAUUGCGGAAUGGGCGGAAGCCUGAUGCAGCAGCGCCGCGUGCGUGAUGACGGCCUUCGAGUUAUAAACAGCUGUCGACUUAGAUGAAGCGUUAUUGACGGUAAUGAAUAAAGAAGCACCGGCUAACUACGUG